RNAcentral lists this long non-coding RNA (1679 nucleotides) under Salvia miltiorrhiza (redroot sage). Its description in RNAcentral is "long non-coding RNA (SMIL_LNC001222)". The record is from RNAcentral. Lineage: Eukaryota; Viridiplantae; Streptophyta; Magnoliopsida; Lamiales; Lamiaceae.
CAUUUCCAAUGUUUUUUUCUGUCGCCUUUAUCCCCCAUAUAUAGCUCUUUAGCUGUACACAUAUUCGAGCACUCCAUCAUCCAAUUCAUGCGACCGCAUAUGCAAAAUUGUUAUGUUUGACUGCAUAUUAACGCCAAGAUUUGAUUUUUUUUUUUUGAAUGAUUUUCAACCUACAAACAAGGAAGUUAACCUGCAGCCCAGUUGAGAAAGAUUCAUGAAAGAGGAGAGGAUGAGGAUGAAGCUUCAAGAUUUUAAUACUGAGGAAAGUCCGCAAUCAAUCAAUCCACAAUGAGCAAAAAGGAAGAGAUGAAUCAGACAAGUGGCGAAGUCAAUAAAAUAGCCCAAAAGAAAGCUGAAAAGGAGACAUUGCAGAGAGAGAGAGAGAGAGGUAGCAGAAGACGGGAGAGAGAGAGAGCGGAGGUCGGAAGACGGGGGGAAGUAAAGUAAGAGAAUGACGAAAAAGGCCUCGUCCACAGACACAUAGAGAGAGAGGGUACUUGGAAAGGACAAGUGGCGGAGGAGAGAGAGAGAGCGAGGAAGGUGACACGUUGGUCUGACUGAAUUGGCCCUUUUUUGGUGCUGUCCUCUAAUCAAAGUGUCUUGAUAGCUAGUGUUCCAGAUGGGUAGUGCUACGCUGUGCUCCACCCCACUGCACACCUCUCCCAUUUCUACGGCUCUGAUGAUUUUUCACAAUUACUCUACCCUCCAAAUCGUCUUACUUUUUGGUUAUCCCACUACAACUUGAUCAUAUAAUCAUAUGAUGCCCGAAUCUUCAUUGAUUUGCUCCAUAAUUUAACAUGGAUAUUCCUAAUUUCCUCAAAUUUAUAAAUUCCUCAGCUUCAGAUGCAAAUAUAGCAUUAUUCCCAACCUAUUUAAAAAGUCAUUUCAAAGUUUUUAUAUUCUCACAUUUGUAAAUAAAUAUUGCCAAAUUUAUAGGAAUAAAAAUCCAAUUUUAUUAUGUUAAUUAUGAAUAAAGCAUAAUUUUACUCCCUCCGUCCCACUGUAAGUGAGACCUUUUUUUUGGGCACGAGAAUUAAGAAAGGUGUAUUUUGUGUAUAGGUGAAAAAGUGAAAAUUAGGGUUGGCCUGAAAUCAUAUAGGGCUGAGUAAAAAAUAAUGCGUUCUCUUGAUUAUAUGAAAAUUUUCUCAUUAUUAGAUUUUCAACUUCAUUACUUUACUUUUGAAAAUUAGUACUAUGAUAAAAUAUUUUUUCCAAAAGUUUAUGAAAUGUAUUUUAAUUCAAAUAUUAGAAUUUCAGUAUUAGAAAGUUAUACUGGUCAUUUCACUUCUUUGUAUUUUUAAUUUAAUACUUAACAUAAAAUAUUUAAGAUGUAAAAAUUAAAAAAUAAUAAUUACGUAUUUAAUAAAAAUAUUGCAUUUGUAUAUCUUUGAGAGUUGCAUAUUAGGAGUAGUUAUUAAUGAUGAUUAGAAUAAUUUGAUAAUCCCAUCAAAUUAGCCCAAAACUUGAUGGAUUGACUUUUUUUUUUUUUUGAGGAGGAUGGAUUGACUCUAUUAAUAUCCCUAAUCUCAAAUUAACCAGCAUUAAAUCCUCUCGAACGUUCGAUUUCUUUGUUAAGUGAAUUAAUUAGUUUUCAAGUGACGUGAUUAGCAGAGUAAGUGGGUGCAGGGGGAGACCGGUCCCAGGGUAGCAGGGCCCGGGGGUGAAUAAGAGAGAGAAAG